UCCUGCUGGGAUAGCUCAGUCGGUAGAGCAUGAGUCUCUUGAUCUCAUGGUGAUGGGUUUGAACCCCAUGUUGGGGGAA
Molecule: non-coding RNA, 79 nt
Organism: Podarcis lilfordi (Lilford's wall lizard)
Lineage: Eukaryota; Metazoa; Chordata; Lepidosauria; Squamata; Lacertidae
Source: the annotation of a GenBank genome assembly